GGUAGCCGGCCUGANANGGUGACCGGCCACACUGGGACUGANACACGGCCCAGACUCCUACGGGAGGCAGCAGUGGGGAAUAUUGCACAAUGGGCGCAAGCCUGAUGCAGCAACGCCGCGUGAGGGACGACGGCCUUCGGGUUGUAAACCUCUUUUAGCAGGGAAGAAGCGAAAGUGACGGUACCUGCAGAAAAAGCGCCGGCUAACUACGUGCCAGCAGCCGCGGUAAUACGUAGGGCGCAAGCGUUAUCCGGAAUUAUUGGGCGUAAAGAGCUCGUAGGCGGUUUGUCGCGUCUGCUGUGAAAUCCGGAGGCUCAACCUCCGGCCUGCAGUGGGUACGGGCAGACUAGAGUGCGGUAGGGGA
RNAcentral lists this ribosomal RNA (364 nucleotides) under uncultured bacterium. RNAcentral's name for it is "bacterial SSU rRNA". It matches the Rfam family "Bacterial small subunit ribosomal RNA", at positions 282 to 658 of the family's 1533-position model. The record is from RNAcentral.